This 199-nucleotide ribosomal RNA is filed under the name uncultured bacterium. Its description in RNAcentral is "partial 16S ribosomal RNA". It matches the Rfam family "Bacterial small subunit ribosomal RNA", at positions 328 to 539 of the family's 1533-position model. The record is from RNAcentral.
ACGCUCGACACCUACGGGGGCAGCAGUGGGGAAUAUUGGGCAAUGGGCGCAAGCCUGACCCAGCAACGCCGCGUGAAGGAAGAAGGCUUUCGGGUUGUAAACUUCUUUUGUCAGGGAAGAGCAGAAGACGGUACCUGACGAAUAAGCCACGGCUAACUACGUGCUAGCAGCCGCGGUAAUCUGAGCGGGCUGGCAAGGC